AUUGAACGCUGGCGGCAGGCCUAACACGUGCAAGUCGAGCGGAUGAAGGGAGCUUGCUCCUGGAUUCAGCGGCGGACGGGUGAGUAAUGCCUAGGAAUCUGCCUGGUAGCGGGGGAUAACGUCCGGAAACGGGCGCUAAUACCGCAUACGUCCUGAGGGAGAAAGUGGGGGAUCUUCGGACCUCACGCUAUCAGAUGAGCCUAGGUCGGAUUAGCUAGUUGGUGGGGUAAAGGCCUACCAAGGCGACGAUCCGUAACUGGUCUGAGAGGAUGAUCAGUCACACUGGAACUGAGACACGGUCCAGACUCCUACGGGAGGCAGCAGUGGGGAAUAUUGGACAAUGGGCGAAAGCCUGAUCCAGCCAUGCCGCGUGUGUGAAGAAGGUCUUCGGAUUGUAAAGCACUUUAAGUUGGGAGGAAGGGCAGUAAGUUAAUACCUUGCUGUUUUGACGUUACCAACAGAAUAAGCACCGGCUAACUUCGUG
RNAcentral lists this ribosomal RNA (484 nucleotides) under uncultured bacterium. RNAcentral describes it as "partial 16S ribosomal RNA". It matches the Rfam family "Bacterial small subunit ribosomal RNA", at positions 30 to 507 of the family's 1533-position model. The record is from RNAcentral.